Molecule: ribosomal RNA, 1134 nt
Filed under: Aspergillus flavus
Lineage: Eukaryota; Fungi; Ascomycota; Eurotiomycetes; Eurotiales; Aspergillaceae
Also listed under: 1 other name
Description: SSU rRNA
Rfam family: Eukaryotic small subunit ribosomal RNA
Source: RNAcentral
UCUGGUUGAUUCUGCCAGUAGUCAUAUGCUUGUCUCAAAGAUUAAGCCAUGCAUGUCUAAGUAUAAGCACUUUAUACUGUGAAACUGCGAAUGGCUCAUUAAAUCAGUUAUCGUUUAUUUGAUAGUACCUUACUACAUGGAUACCUGUGGUAAUUCUAGAGCUAAUACAUGCUAAAAACCUCGACUUCGGAAGGGGUGUAUUUAUUAGAUAAAAAACCAAUGCCCUUCGGGGCUCCUUGGUGAUUCAUAAUAACUUAACGAAUCGCAUGGCCUUGCGCCGGCGAUGGUUCAUUCAAAUUUCUGCCCUAUCAACUUUCGAUGGUAGGAUAGUGGCCUACCAUGGUGGCAACGGGUAACGGGGAAUUAGGGUUCGAUUCCGGAGAGGGAGCCUGAGAAACGGCUACCACAUCCAAGGAAGGCAGCAGGCGCGCAAAUUACCCAAUCCCGACACGGGGAGGUAGUGACAAUAAAUACUGAUACGGGGCUCUUUUGGGUCUCGUAAUUGGAAUGAGUACAAUCUAAAUCCCUUAACGAGGAACAAUUGGAGGGCAAGUCUGGUGCCAGCAGCCGCGGUAAUUCCAGCUCCAAUAGCGUAUAUUAAAGUUGUUGCAGUUAAAAAGCUCGUAGUUGAACCUUGGGUCUGGCUGGCCGGUCCGCCUCACCGCGAGUACUGGUCCGGCUGGACCUUUCCUUCUGGGGAACCUCAUGGCCUUCACUGGCUGUGGGGGGAACCAGGACUUUUACUGUGAAAAAAUUAGAGUGUUCAAAGCAGGCCUUUGCUCGAAUACAUUAGCAUGGAAUAAUAGAAUAGGACGUGCGGUUCUAUUUUGUUGGUUUCUAGGACCGCCGUAAUGAUUAAUAGGGAUAGUCGGGGGCGUCAGUAUUCAGCUGUCAGAGGUGAAAUUCUUGGAUUUGCUGAAGACUAACUACUGCGAAAGCAUUCGCCAAGGAUGUUUUCAUUAAUCAGGGAACGAAAGUUAGGGGAUCGAAGACGAUCAGAUACCGUCGUAGUCUUAACCAUAAACUAUGCCGACUAGGGAUCGGGCGGUGUUUCUAUGAUGACCCGCUCGGCACCUUACGAGAAAUCAAAGUUUUUGGGUUCUGGGGGGAGUAUGGUCGCAAGGCUGAAACUUA